This 538-nucleotide ribosomal RNA is filed under the name uncultured Pseudomonadota bacterium. Its description in RNAcentral is "bacterial SSU rRNA". It matches the Rfam family "Bacterial small subunit ribosomal RNA", at positions 8 to 522 of the family's 1533-position model. The record is from RNAcentral. Lineage: Bacteria; Pseudomonadati; Pseudomonadota.
AGAGUUUGAUCAUGGCUCAGAACGAACGCUGGCGGCGUGCCUAACACAUGCAAGUCGAACGUGAUUAGAGAGCUUGCUCUCUAUGAAAGUGGCGCACGGGUGAGUAACGCGUAGAUAAUCUGCCUGAUGAUCGGGGAUAACACUUCGAAAGGGGUGCUAAUACCGGAUAAGCUCACGGAGUCUUUGGAUUCUGCGGGAAAAGGGGGGGACCUUCGGGCCUUCUGUCAUCAGAUGAGUCUGCGUACCAUUAGCUAGUUGGUAGGGUAAAGGCCUACCAAGGCGACGAUGGUUAGCUGGUCUGAGAGGAUGAUCAGCCACACUGGAACUGAGACACGGUCCAGACUCCUACGGGAGGCAGCAGUGGGGAAUUUUGCGCAAUGGGGGAAACCCUGACGCAGCAACGCCGCGUGAGUGAUGAAGGCUCUUGGGUCGUAAAGCUCUGACAGAGGGAAAGCAAGUGUAUUGUGGCUAAUAUCCACGAUACUUGACGGUACCCUCAAAGGAAGCACCGGCUAACUCCGUGCCAGCAGCCGCGGUA